ACUCCUACGGGAGGCAGCAGUGGGGAAUCUUGGACAAUGGGGGCAACCCUGAUCCAGCCAUGCCGCGUGAGUGAUGAAGGCCUUAGGGUCGUAAAGCUCUUUCGCCUGUGAUGAUAAUGACAGUAGCAGGUAAAGAAACCCCGGCUAACUCCGUGCCAGCAGCCGCGGUAAUACGGAGGGGGUUAGCGUUGUUCGGAAUUACUGGGGCGUAAAGCGCGCGUAGGCGGAUUAGUCAGUUAGAGGUGAAAUCCCAGGGGCUCAACCCUGGAACUGCCUUUAAUACUGCUAGUCUUGAGUUCGAGAGAGGUGAGUGGAAUUCCGAGUGUAGAGGUGGAAAUUCGUAGAUAUUCGGAGGAACACCAGUGGCGGAAGGCGGCGUCACUGGCUCGAUACU
This 394-nucleotide ribosomal RNA is filed under the name uncultured bacterium. RNAcentral's name for it is "bacterial SSU rRNA". It matches the Rfam family "Bacterial small subunit ribosomal RNA", at positions 335 to 741 of the family's 1533-position model. The record is from RNAcentral.